UUUUACUUCCUUUCAUUGAUCGGAUAAGAGAACUAGCCCCUAGGAACGAGGGGGCUAACAAACAGCUAAGAGCGCUACUUCGAUUUGGAGAGGGGAAAGCAAAUGAAAGUAAGGGAGGUUGAUAUUCCAUCAAUUCUAGAUAGAGGCAGGCUACUUGGUAAACCCUCUAUUCGGGUUGUGUUCACCCAAUCAAUAGCAAUUUACCUAAGAGGGUUGGCAUUUGAUUCAAAUAAAGAGAGAUGGGGGCACCUUCAACUAGAAAAUAGGAGGUAUUAGCUAGUUCGGCCGAAUAACUGUAACCACCUGAAUAAGAAUAGUAAUUCGAUAAAGCGGUUUAACCCGAUAGUCUUCUGUAUAUGGAUUGGAUGGCCCUGCCGGGUAGGGC
This 385-nucleotide long non-coding RNA is filed under the name Amborella trichopoda. Its description in RNAcentral is "long non-coding RNA (ATRI_LNC005331)". Lineage: Eukaryota; Viridiplantae; Streptophyta; Magnoliopsida; Amborellales; Amborellaceae. The record is from RNAcentral.